CCAUUUACCUCCAACUGAAAGAAGAAGAAGCAGCCUCUCCAACCCCCUGCAACUGUGUAUCCACAGCACCAAGAACCACAAAAAUGGCGUCAAUAGUGACGACGACGACAACUGCAGUAAUAGCAGCAGCAACGCUGUCACUCUCUUCUUCACUUCUUAAAAGCAAGACGCCUGUUCCGUACCUUACAUGCAUCCGCACGUUUCCUCGCAUCACAUGCUGUCUCUCAUCAUCUUCUUCAUCGUCUUCAUCGUCUUCAUCACCUUCUUCUUCUCCUCAGCUCGAAUUCAACAUUACAUUUGCACCACCAAGACCCAAGUCCCGAACGCCUAAAAGAACAGACGAUGAAGAAAAGCAACAAGGAGACGAGGUCGAUUUCCUUGGUGGUAGCGGGCAGCAGCUGUUCAUCCCUUGGAUUGUCCGCGGCGAGGACGGCAAUCUUAAGCUCCAGACGCACCCACCGGCGCGCCUUAUCCACGCGCUCGCCGACGCCAAAACACAGAAUGCUAAGAAAAAGGACAAGAAGAAAAUGAAAUUUGAGUCGUCGUCUGCAGAGCCCAAGCUUUCGAAAGCGGCGCGAAGAUUUUAUAAUCAGAACUUCAGGGACCCUCCCCAACGCCUCAGCAAAGUCCUCGCUGCUGCCGGAGUGGCAUCUAGGAGGAGUAGUGAAGAGCUUAUUUUUGAUGGCAAAGUCACGGUUAAUGGUUCUGUUUGUAACACUCCUCAGACCAGGGUUGAUCCUGCAAGGGAUAUUAUAUAUGUCAAUGGUAACCGUCUUCCAAAAAAACUUCCUCCAAAGGUGUAUCUUGCACUGAACAAGCCAAAAGGGUACAUUUGCUCAUCUGGGGAGAAAGAAUUUAAAUCUGUGAUUACUCUGUUUGACGAUUAUAUGAAGAGCUGGGACAAAAGAAAUCCAGGGAUACCCAAACCUCGACUCUUUACUGUUGGCCGCCUUGAUGUUGCCACAACUGGUUUAAUUAUUGUGACUAAUGACGGAGAGUUUGCUCAGAAACUUUCACAUCCUUCCUCCAGGUUACAGAAAGAAUACAUUGCAACAAUUGAUGGAGUUGUAAAUAAGAAACAUUUAAUUGCCAUCAAUGAAGGGACAGUAAUUGAUGGCAUCCACUGCACUCCAGAUUCUGUGGAAUUACUGCCUCGACAGCCUGAUAUAGAAAGACCUCGCCUCCGUAUUGUGGUUCAUGAAGGGAGGAAUCAUGAAGUAAGAGAACUAGUGAAACAUGCUGGACUUGAGAUUCAUUCCUUAAAGCGCGUAAGAAUUGGUGGUUUCAGACUUCCGUCUGUACUUGGGAUAGGGAUGCACAUGGAACUAAAGCAAAGCAACCUCCAGGCAAUGGGUUGGAAGAGUUAGGGAAGUUGCAGCUUAGUCACCACGUGUAUUUUUGUUGGUCUCCCUGCAAUUCUGUUGGAAGGAAACCCUUCAUCAUCUAUGACAAGAUGCUCUGACAAUGCAAAUCCAUCAACGUAGCCAUCACAGUCCGUUGCCGUUGCUAUCAUGAUUGCCGUCAUCAUCAUCCUUGCAUGAAUCUCCCAGUUGCUCGCGUUUGCUUCAGGUAUAUACCGGCUUUUAUAUAAAAGUGUGCGAGCCUGGAAGACGCUCGUAAAUUUUUUGAAGAGAUCUAGAACAAAUUGAAGUGAUAGUUAUGGAAACUAAAUGUUAUGGAAAGAUUUCCUCAUCUACUUGGAAUGAUUUUAUAAUUUUAUGUAAAUAGUUAUGUUGGUGCAUUAGCAAGUAAUGGCUGUCCUAUUAGCUUUAUCUCAUCAGGAUUGUCUUGUAGUUUAUGUUACAUGUGGUUGGAAUUUGUGAACCCAUUAGAAAUCUUUAUUUUGUUCCUCUAAAAUUCAUAUAUUAUUUUCUUUUUUGGAUGAU
Carica papaya (papaya) is the source of this 1886-nucleotide non-coding RNA. NCBI's taxonomy places the organism in Eukaryota, Viridiplantae, Streptophyta, Magnoliopsida, Brassicales, Caricaceae. The record is from RefSeq and is a predicted model, not a curated record.